This 402-nucleotide ribosomal RNA is filed under the name uncultured bacterium. Its description in RNAcentral is "bacterial SSU rRNA". It matches the Rfam family "Bacterial small subunit ribosomal RNA", at positions 355 to 774 of the family's 1533-position model. The record is from RNAcentral.
UGGGGAAUAUUGCACAAUGGGCGAAAGCCUGAUGCAGCAACGCCGCGUGAGUGAUGAAGGCCUUCGGGUUGUAAAGCUCUGUCUUCUGGGACGAUAAUGACGGUACCAGAGGAGGAAGCCACGGCUAACUACGUGCCAGCAGCCGCGGUAAUACGUAGGUGGCAAGCGUUGUCCGGAUUUACUGGGCGUAAAGGAUGCGUAGGCGGAUACUUAAGUCAGAUGUGAAAAUCCCGGGCUUAACUUGGGAACUGCAUUUGAAACUGGGUAUCUAGAGUGCGGGAGAGGAUAGUGGAAUUCCUAGUGUAGCGGUGAAAUGCGUAGAGAUUAGGAAGAAGACCAGUGGCGAAGGCGACUUUCUGGACCGUAACUGACGCUGAGGCAUGAAAGCGUGGGGAGCAAACA